This 253-nucleotide ribosomal RNA is filed under the name uncultured bacterium. Its description in RNAcentral is "partial 16S ribosomal RNA". It matches the Rfam family "Bacterial small subunit ribosomal RNA", at positions 524 to 776 of the family's 1533-position model. The record is from RNAcentral.
UACAGAGGGGGCAAGCGUUAUUCGGAAUUAUUGGGCGUAAAGGGCGCGUAGGCGGCCUGACAAGUGGAAGGUGAAAUCCCUCGGCUUAACCGGGGAACUGCCUUCCAAACUGUUUUGCUUGAGUCCGGGAGAGGUCAGUGGAAUUCCCAGUGUAGCGGUGAAAUGCGUAGAUAUUGGGAGGAACACCAGUGGCGAAGGCGACUGACUGGACCGGUACUGACGCUGAGGCGCGAAAGCGUGGGGAGCAAACGGG